RNAcentral lists this ribosomal RNA (507 nucleotides) under Enterocytozoon bieneusi. RNAcentral describes it as "partial 18S ribosomal RNA". It matches the Rfam family "Microsporidia small subunit ribosomal RNA", at positions 319 to 830 of the family's 1311-position model. Lineage: Eukaryota; Fungi; Microsporidia; Enterocytozoonidae. The record is from RNAcentral.
GGAGACAGUCAUGAGACGUGAGUAUAAGACCUGAGUGUAAAGACCUUAGGGUGAAGCAAUUGGAGGGCAAGCUUUGGUGCCAGCAGCCGCGGUAACUCCAACUCCAAGAGUGUCUAUGGUGGAUGCUGCAGUUAAAGGGUCCGUAGUCGUGAAUGCAAUUAAAUGUCGUUGUUCAAUAGCGAUGAGUUUGCUAAUGUUUGCGGAACGGAUAGGGAGUGUAGUAUAGACUGGCGAAGAAUGAAAUCUCAAGACCCAGUUUGGACUAACGGAGGCGAAGGCGACACUCUUAGACGUAUCUUAGGAUCAAGGACGAAGGCAGGAGUAUCGAAAGUGAUUAGACACCGCUGUAGUUCCUGCAGUAAACUAUGCCGACAGCCUGUGUGUGAGAAUACGUGGGCGGGAGAAAUCUUAGUGUUCGGGCUCUGGGGAUAGUACGCUCGCAAGGGUGAAACUUAAAGCGAAAUUGACGGAAGGACACUACCAGGAGUGGACUGUGCUGCUUAAUUU